RNAcentral lists this ribosomal RNA (163 nucleotides) under Llerasia lindenii. RNAcentral's name for it is "5.8S ribosomal RNA". It matches the Rfam family "5.8S ribosomal RNA". From Rfam's summary of the family: 5.8S ribosomal RNA (5.8S rRNA) is a component of the large subunit of the eukaryotic ribosome. It is transcribed by RNA polymerase I as part of the 45S precursor that also contains 18S and 28S rRNA. Lineage: Eukaryota; Viridiplantae; Streptophyta; Magnoliopsida; Asterales; Asteraceae. The record is from RNAcentral.
ACAAACGACUCUCGGCAACGGAUAUCUCGGCUCACGCAUCGAUGAAGAACGUAGCAAAAUGCGAUACUUGGUGUGAAUUGCAGAAUCCCGUGAACCAUCGAGUUUUUGAACGCAAGUUGCGCCCAAAGCCAUCCGGCCGAGGGCACGUCUGCCUGGGCGUCAC